RNAcentral lists this ribosomal RNA (253 nucleotides) under uncultured bacterium. RNAcentral describes it as "partial 16S ribosomal RNA". It matches the Rfam family "Bacterial small subunit ribosomal RNA", at positions 548 to 776 of the family's 1533-position model. The record is from RNAcentral.
UCCUUCUUUUUCCCUCUUUAUCCUGAUUCACUGGGUUUAAAGGGUGCGUAGGUGGGUUGGUAAGUCAGUGGUGAAAUCUCCGAGCUUAACUUGGAAACUGCCAUUGAUACUAUCAGUCUUGAAUACCGUGGAGGUCAGCGGAAUAUGUCAUGUAGCGGUGAAAUGCUUAGAUAUGACAUAGAACACCAAUUGCGAAGGCAGCUGACUACGCGAAUAUUGACACUGAUGCACGAAAGCGUGGGGAUCAAACAGG